GGAGCAGUAAUAGGGCAUCUUUCUAUUGGCAGGCGACUUGGCUAUUUGUAUCUUUUGUGUUCUUGACUAUUGGCUAUGUCACUUGCCAAAGGAGAGUUGCCCUGUCACUGCUUC
Non-coding RNA from Arabidopsis thaliana (thale cress), 114 nucleotides. The record is from RefSeq. Lineage: Eukaryota; Viridiplantae; Streptophyta; Magnoliopsida; Brassicales; Brassicaceae.